CGCAAGAGGAGAAAGCCGCUGCUGCUGCUGACCGUACACGCAAUUCUUCUUUCCGUGCGAGCACUUGAUGCCAUCGGAAGGUUCAAAGUUCGCAUCCUGGUCCAGGUCUUGUCAUCCAUUUGGGCAUCAAUUCGAUGCCGAUGAUGGGAUUUUAAGAAGUGUGGAGCGGUUUUCUGUGCGGCGUUCCGAUGUUUACAUCGCCGAGUCUACCUCGCGGAGGCCCAGCAACCUGGUUCGAGAUACCUCGCCAGUGAUGUCAGCCCGCGGCGUGGUUUCGCCAACCGCUGCGCCACCGCUCCUCGUCGUCGUCACACGCUCAUGGAGCACUCCGUAAGCGACCUGGCAGACGAAUGACAGUGCAACGAAGUGGCGUGUCAUGUGGACAUUUACAGCAGCCAAAUACUCUACACGCACGGCGGAAACUCAAACGAUGGGGCCAGUUAUAACAAGCAUUAUAAUUGCGUACGUAUCUAGCGGGUGCUGUUGCAUUGGGAUGUGUGGUCAACACCAGUUAACAUUUCGCCUUUUCGUCGUUUGGCUGUGGGAAGACAACCGGCGAACCCGGUUGAGUGGUGGAGGAAACCCGUACAGAACACGUGAGAGGACACACAAACUCCACGUGCAGGAAGGUGCCCCGAGUCGGGGGUCGGACGCGGCUUCUUUGCGUUUUGUUUGACCGCACGCGGCGGAGGCACGAGGCGCGGCCACUCGCGGCGCGGGCCCCUGGUGCUUGGGCAACGGCGUCCACGAGGUUUUAAUCGCGAUCAGUUUUCAGCCCCGUUGCUUAGCAGAGAGGAUUAUUGCAUAAUUCAUGGAGAUUUACAUUUAUAUUAGCGGCAAGCACGACUCCGAGGGGAGGGGAUCGUGGCAUUCGGGGAUAUUCCCCACGCGGAGCUCCCCAUUUUUUUAUUUUUUUAUUUUUACCUGCGCAGAAUCAAGACCGCUUAACAGGAGUUUGGCUUCAAGCGCAGAGUUGACACUCGGGGGCAGUAACCUCGGCCGAUCUAUUCGUCCACUCGCCACGCAUCACCCUCCAGAGCAGUGGGUCUCAACCGAGGCGACACGCGGACUCCUGGGGGUCGGGUGGCAAUGUCCCAUGGGGGGGGUACGUGCCGUGAUUUAUACUCGCGUGUGAAAUUAUAUCUUACGCGAGUGCCAUUGGUGAAUCAUCACGUUGUAUGAACCUGCCAAUAGAAAAAUAACGACGAUGGACAAUUUAAAUCGAUAUGGUAACCUCCAUCGAUAUAAAAUAACUUCUCAAACUCACUCAUCGUAAACUAUUUUGGUUUCCAAGAGUAGCCAGCGAGGGCGAACAAACUACGGCCGCAUGCAGAGCGUCCGUUGGUUUUUUUAAAUUCUCUUACAGAAAUGUAUGAAUAAUGAAGAUCGAUAUUUUAACCAAUUGUCCAUUUUGUGAGGUAUCCCCUAGAGCAGGGGUCGGCAACCGAUGGCUCGCGAGCCAGAUGUGAUAAGACUUAUAAGACUUAUAAGUCGUUUCAUGUUAAGAAAUGUCAGCUAAGAAUUAUUUGCGAGCCAGA
Petromyzon marinus (sea lamprey) is the source of this 1538-nucleotide non-coding RNA. The record is from RefSeq and is a predicted model, not a curated record. NCBI's taxonomy places the organism in Eukaryota, Metazoa, Chordata, Hyperoartia, Petromyzontiformes, Petromyzontidae.